Molecule: ribosomal RNA, 253 nt
Filed under: uncultured bacterium
Lineage: Bacteria
Description: partial 16S ribosomal RNA
Rfam family: Bacterial small subunit ribosomal RNA
Source: RNAcentral
UACGUAGGGUGCAAGCGUUGUCCGGAAUUAUUGGGCGUAAAGGGCUCGUAGGCGGUUUGUCGCGUCGGGAGUGAAAACACCGGGCUUAACUCGGUGCUUGCUUUCGAUACGGGCAGACUAGAGGUAUUCAGGGGAGAACGGAAUUCCUGGUGUAGCGGUGAAAUGCGCAGAUAUCAGGAGGAACACCGGUGGCGAAGGCGGUUCUCUGGGAAUAUCCUGACGCUGAGGAGCGAAAGUGUGGGGAGCGAACAGG